Zea mays is the source of this 643-nucleotide long non-coding RNA. RefSeq lists it as uncharacterized. The transcript is spliced from 4 exons. Lineage: Eukaryota; Viridiplantae; Streptophyta; Magnoliopsida; Poales; Poaceae. The record is from RefSeq and is a predicted model, not a curated record.
GCCACUACCGAGAGCUCUGGGAGGGAUAUUGCUGGCCAACGGCGGCCAGGCGAUCGCCUCCAUGGCAUGGAAGCUUGAGGGGUCAUGUCCAUUAGGGAGAGUGGAGGAGAUCCGAUGAGUCCAUUCUCUAGAGUCCAGACUCCAGACUAGGAUAGAAUAAGGCUGAGGCAUCCAGUUUCAUCAAUUCAUCACGUCAGUUACCAGGCGCACGCCACAUGGCUGAUUACCAAGCCAAGAUGAAAGUGGUGGUGGCCGCAUCAAAGGAGAAGGUGCAACAAGACGAACCGAAAGCUGCUAUCUCAGAUGUGAAAUGUGACAACCCAAAAGAGGAGGGCAAUGUGCAGCAAACCAAAAGUUGUUGCCUCAAAUGUGAAAUGUGAUGACCUAGAGCAGGAGGAAGAUUCCAAUAAAAAUGGGGAACUGGAGGAGUGUAACAAAUGUGUAAUUUAUUUUUUCCACUCUAUAUGCUAUCUUAGAAGUUUCAAAAGUUCCUUGUUUGUGCGUAAUUCAAAAUUUACUAUUAGUCAUUGUUCCUGAACAACCCUUGAUUUUAUUUCUUGAAUGUGCACCUGAUUCGUCUAAUGGAAUCAUGGAACCACAUGUUGUGCUACUAUUUUGGUUAAGAAUUACAAUGAUCUUAAGG